GCCUGACGCUCACGCGCCUGUCAGACCGUCUGUUGGCCCACGCGCGCGUGAGUUCACGCGCAUUAUAAAAAAAAAACCCUCUCUCCGCUCAUUCUUCUGCUGCAACGUCUCAAAAUUACUCUCUCCUCUUCGUUUCCUCCGUUCCAGAUUCUCUCCUCUCUGCACUCAUCUCUCCUCGCCGGAGACCACCAGCUCCUCUCCUCGACGGAGACCACCAGCUCCUCUCCUCUCUUUGUUCCUCUGCUCAAAAUCCAAAGAAAAUCAGACGAUGGAGGUGCGACGGUAGUGUGCGAAUGCUAAUUCGAUCUUGCCGCCGAUCUCUCUCCAUCCUCACAUUCGCCGGAGAUCUCUCCUCCCAGCCACCGGGGAUGUGAAGAAGCCCUAUCGUUUUCGUUUCUUUGAGAUCAUGUCAGACAAUGAGGGGUUGCUGAGUCUAACAGAGAAACAAGCUCAACAGAUCACUCAACAAACCGGUUACAUCAAAGAGUUGGAAGGUCGAGAGAGAGUUCUUACUCAAAAUGUAAAAUUUACUUUAGUAUGUGGAACUCUUAGUUAUGAUUAGCUAAUGAUUUCUCACAUUUAGUUAUGUUUUUGUGGUCUUUAGUUUUCACUAUGAAUUAGUUAAUGUUUUCUCAUAUUUAGUUAUGUUUUUGUGGUCUUUUGUUUUCACUAUGAAUUGAAUUAGUUAAUGUUUUCUCA
Molecule: long non-coding RNA, 699 nt
Organism: Spinacia oleracea (spinach)
Lineage: Eukaryota; Viridiplantae; Streptophyta; Magnoliopsida; Caryophyllales; Amaranthaceae
Exons: 2
Source: RefSeq, a predicted model, not a curated record